UUUUGGACAAUGGGCGAAAGCCUGAUCCAGCAAUGCCGCGUGCAGGAAGAAGGCCUUCGGGUUGUAAACUGCUUUUGUACGCAACGAAACGGUCUGCCCUAAUACGGCGGGCUAAUGACGGUACCGUAAGAAUAAGCACCGGCUAACUACGUGCCAGCAGCCGCGGUAAUACGUAGGGUGCGAGCGUUAAUCGGAAUUACUGGGCGUAAAGCGUGCGCAGGCGGUUAUGUAAGACAGUUGUGAAAUCCCCGGGCUCAACCUGGGAAUUGCAUCUGUGACUGCAUAGCUAGAGUACGGUAGAGGGGGAUGGAAUUCCGCGUGUAGCAGUGAAAUGCGUAGAUAUGCGGAGGAACACCGAUGGCGAAGGCAAUCCCCUGGACCUGUACUGACGCUCAUGCACGAAA
RNAcentral lists this ribosomal RNA (404 nucleotides) under uncultured bacterium. Its description in RNAcentral is "bacterial SSU rRNA". It matches the Rfam family "Bacterial small subunit ribosomal RNA", at positions 362 to 758 of the family's 1533-position model. The record is from RNAcentral.